This 979-nucleotide ribosomal RNA is filed under the name uncultured bacterium. Its description in RNAcentral is "bacterial SSU rRNA". It matches the Rfam family "Bacterial small subunit ribosomal RNA", at positions 8 to 1003 of the family's 1533-position model. The record is from RNAcentral.
AGAGUUUGAUCCUGGCUCAGGACGAACGCUGGCGGCGUGCCUAACACAUGCAAGUCGAACGGAGAUACGAUUUCGGUUGUAUCUUAGUGGCGAACGGGUGAGUAACGCGUGAGCAACCUGACUCUUGGAGGGGGAUAACACUCGGAAACGGGUGCUAAUACCGCAUAAGACCACGACAUGGCAUCAUGACGAGGUCAAAGGAGCAAUCCGCUGAGAGAGGGGCUCGCGUCCCAUUAGAUAGAUGGCGGGGUAACGGCCCACCAUGUCAACGAUGGGUAGCCGAGCUGAGAGGCUGAUCGGCCACACUGGAACUGAGACACGGUCCAGACUCCUACGGGAGGCAGCAGUGGGGAAUAUUGGGCAAUGGGCGCAAGCCUGACCCAGCAACGCCGCGUGAGGGAAGAAGGCUUUCGGGUUGAAAACCUCUGUCCUUGGUGACGAAAAAAAUGACGGUAGCCAAGGAGGAAGCCCCGGCUAACUACGUGCCAGCAGCCGCGGUAAUACGUAGGGGGCGAGCGUUGUCCGGAAUUACUGGGCGUAAAGGGUGCGUAGGUGGCCUUUUAAGUUGGAUGUGAAAUACCCGGGCCUAACCUGGGGGGUGCAUCUAAUACUGGGAGGCUAGAGUGCAGGAGAGGAAAGCGGAAUUCCUAGUGUAGCGGUGAAAUGCGUAGAUAUUAGGAGGAACACCAGUGGCGAAGGCGGCUUUCUGGACUGUAACUGACACUGAGGCACGAAAGCGUGGGGAGCAAACAGGAUUAGAUACCCUGGUAGUCCACGCGGUAAACGAUGAAUACUAUGUGUAGGGGGUAUCAACUCCCCCUGUGCCGGAGCUAACGCAAUAAGUAUUCCGCCUGGGGAGUACGGCCGCAAGGUUGAAACUCAAGGAAUUGACGGGGCCCGCACAAGCAGCGGAGCAUGUGGUUUAAUUCGAAGCAACGCGAGAACCUUACCAAGGCUUGACAUCCACUUAAACGCAUGG